GGGGGCGUAGUUCAGUUGGUUAGAACGCUGGCCUGUCACGCCGGAGGCCGCGGGUUCGAGUCCCGUCGCUCCCG
RNAcentral lists this transfer RNA (74 nucleotides) under Actinomycetota bacterium. RNAcentral's name for it is "tRNA-Asp". It matches the Rfam family "tRNA". From Rfam's summary of the family: Transfer RNA (tRNA) molecules are approximately 80 nucleotides in length. The record is from RNAcentral. Lineage: Bacteria; Bacillati; Actinomycetota.